UCCAGAUCCAGCUUUCUGCAAGUGGGGUAAGUGUCUCCAUGAUACCCCUUCAGGGAGAAUAUGAGGAAUAAAAGAAAAAAAAGGGGAAGAGGGAAGAGAGAUAAAGGGGUAGGGACAAGGCAGAUAGAAAAGGGAUUAUUUGCUUCUCUAGGCUAAACAAGCCCAGUCCUGUCCACCAUUACCUGAAAGCUGCUCCCCUUCCCAGAACCAGCCUCACCUGGGGUAAGAAGGGCCCCGGACUCAUACACACAAAUAAAUAAAUGGAUUAACAUACAUUUGCGUGUCUCCGUCUCAUGGGAUCUGGCCCUCAGCCCCGGCACAGGGCAGCCUCAACCUUAAACAACUGCUGUCAUGACUGACGGCCUUCACGCCGCGGCAAAGACUUCAGCACCGCUACUCUCCUGUGUCUUGCCCUUACACACCGCGAAGAUCUGCGGGAUUUGCCACUGCCAAGUUGGACACUGUGCAGAGAGGAUAUAAGGGACAGAAAUACUCAGAUGCAGAAUGCCAGGCGAUGCUGUGGAUGAUAAGAUGCCUGGUCCAGUUGUAAAAAGGAGAGAAUGGAGGAGAACAGGCACAGGACUCAGCAGGGAAGAGAGGGCUAGAGGACUGCAGCCGCAAGAGAGACUGAGUGGAAGAGAGUGAGCAGGAAUGGCCGGCGAGACGGGAGAACCAAAGCAACCUCGACAGUAAAGCCUGGCCAGGAACUGCGAACAGACUCAAUGGGGAAGAACCCAGACCUGGCGUGAGUCGGGUUCAAGACAAUUCUGUGCCUGCCACCAACUCUGCGUGACCUGGAGCCACUCAACUCACACGCCUGAACCUUGGCUUCCGCAUCUGCCCAGCGUGGCCGCGUGCACCCCACAAAACUGCCUGGAGGACGAAAUGGGAUCGUGCCCACGGAAGUGCUUUUUCAGCUGUCAAUCUCUUUACAAAGAGCAGGGGCUUUUCUAAGGCUCCUGGUGAAUUCCCACAACUGAGGUUCGAGAUAGUUAUCGCCUCUUUCCAAAGGCAGCGGACGAGUUAAUUCUUAAGCCCUUCAGCCCGUGGGGAGCAGAGGCAGAGCAAAGGGCAGGUCUGGAGGCCUCUUCUGGAAAUGACAAGAUCCAUUUAGCAAUCAAUUAGCGCUGUCCCCAGGCUCCCCGCCCCGCACUCGGCAGAAAGAAUGCGCCACACUGCACUGAUUAGAAACAGAUGCGCUGGCAAACAGGCCCGGCCGGAAUUCCUGGGCACCCAGCUCCUGGCUGGGAGACGGGGUUCGUUAGUACAUUCUGGGCACCGACAUGCGGAGGGAGGCCAGGGAAACCAAGCUGAGAGAGAGCAGCCUGCCUGGAGAAAUGUGUACCUUUGAGGGGAUUCAGAAGUGGGGGAGGGAAGAAUGUUGACUCGGUCAGAAAUAAUCUGGGAUAAAAUUAGUUCAACCAGAUACAGAAUACGACUUUUGACCACCAGAUGCUGAUUCCAAACGUGACCCGGCUGCUGCAGGAGGAAGAGGGCCUCGGGAGCCCAGACAGGGACGCUCCUCCGAGUCCUGACAGCAAUCAACACAACACUGCCCUGGGAGCACACUGUGAGCCAAGGCUGCGUGCGAUCCCCACAGACAGACGAGCUCCCGGUCCGAGAUUACAAGGCAGGUGAGAAAGAAUCAGACAAUGUGAGCAAGAGGACUGGAUUCCUCGCCCCAAGACUUUGACCGUUAGAAUAAAUAGCAUACAAAUUGUAAAAUAAGUAUGUCUUAAAUAAUUAACAGAAUAAAGGAGUUUUUAAAAGGUAGAAGAGACUUUUAAAAAACAAGCAUAUUUGGAAACUAUUCAACUUGAACUAUUUGAAAAAUACAGAAAGUCACCAAAGUUAAAAACCCAAUGGUUGAGGUAAACAACAGACUAAAAUGCAACUGAAGAGAUAAUUGGUACAGUGGAGGUUGCUAUGUUAAUAAUUUAUCUUAUUGCUUCUUAUGCAACAGAAUAUCGAAUAUCUUUGAAUAGUGUUAUAAGUUGGAGUGCCAUUUUGAGACAAAUCACCCAAAGAUAAAGUGAAAUUGGUUAUUUCAAACAUAGCUGUGAUGAGCUUUUUAACAUUAACUGUCAAAUGUGCCUCUUUUACCUUUGAACAGACUAACUUCUUACAUCGUUGAAACCUUAUUUCUCCUUCAACAUCCACAUCCUUCCAAUACUGAACGUCGUAAGACCUGUUACCGUGAUACACGUCCAGUCCCUGCACCUUCUGUCACAGUCCCAGGUAUACUGACACUAUGGUCAGUAGUAGCAUUCCUGGAAGCCAUUCCUAAGCCAGGGUAGCUAGCAAUACCUGACCUAUACAUGGAAAUGGUGGCAAACAACAUAAAUAUAUGCCAUCAGGCUGGAUGGUCUGUCAGCCACCUGGAACCACCACUGUUUCUUUUAAGUCAGACAAUUACUUUUCCCAGUAUGGAUCCAGGUUAGAGUUUGCCAACAAGAGAAACUUAAAGAAGAUUGGAAGGUGGACAAGAAAUAAGGUGAAAUGACAGCAAUUUUUUUUCCAGAAGGUUGUGCCAGUUACACAUGGCUUCAAAAUUUCUCCACAAGCGACCCCUCUGAGGUCAUACAGAAGUAGUGGUUCACAGUAUUUCCACAAACUCUUGAUUCACAGUUGUGGUGACAAGGUGCAGUGGUUCUCAGUCUGUCCCACAAUCAGCAGCCUCUCCCAGCCUCUCCUGCUUCCCCUUCCCUAUGCCAGACGUGUAUACAUAGAGAGUGACAGACAGAGGCUGAUAGUCUGGCUGGUGAACAAGGACUUUGAAAGAAUAAGAUUGGAAAGUUGAUGACAAAGAUAAAAGAGGGGUGAGGAAAGAGCUCUCCAAAUGAGCAUAUUUGUGUGGAGUUGUUCAGCAGAAGAGGUCUCCAACAGUCAGUAGAGAAAAUAACUCAUUCUAAGGAUAUCAGGCCGCCUUUCCCCCAGCCACUUCUGUCCUUGCUCAAGAUGCUCACCAAUGAAAUGGCCAUUUUGGAAGGGAUGGAGGUUUCCCAUGGGCUCAGCAAUCGGGGCCCCCACUUACCAAGGCUGCUUUGGCUACAGUCCCUGCUGAGUGCCCAACGUGCCCACAACAACUAACACUAAGCCCUGAAUAUAGCACCAUUUUGCAGAGGAAUAGCCAAGCUAUUUGAAGAAACAUGAUGAUAUUGAAACAAUGCCGUUAUAGAAAGAAUUUUCAUGGAAACUGACAAACUGAUUCUAAAAUCUGUGCGGAAGACUAGAGGACCAUGAAAACCUAAGACAUUCUUGAAGAAGGACAGGAGGAAAGGAUGCCCUACCAGAUAUCAAGAUAAAACUAUAAAAAUCAAAAUAAUGUGGUAUUGGACAAGAGCAGACAAACUGCUGAAACAGAAGAGAGAGUCCAGAAACCAAUGCAGGUACACACGGAAGCUGGAUUUGUGACAGAACUGACAUUAUAGAUUAGUAGGAAUAGCAAGGACCAUAACAAAUGAUACUGCCACAAAAGGUUAUCUAUGUGGAAAAAAAUUAAAAUUAAUUCCUCCUUCAUGUCCUACAUAAAAAAUCAAUUCAAGGUAGAUUAAACACAAAUGUGAAAGAUAAAAAUCAGAAGCAAAUAUAGGAUAAUAAUUUUAGCUCCUCAGGGUAGAGAGAGACUUCUUAAAUAAAAGCAGAAAAAGCAGUUACCUUAAAAAAGGAAUUAACAACAAAGGUAGAUAAAUUAAAAACUUACGGUUUUCCAGAGACUCCAUAAAGAAUCAAGAAAAACAAGCUUCAAACUUGGAGAUGACAAUUACAACAAUUAUUACAAAGGAUUAAUUUCUAGAACAUUGCUUAGAGAUCAAUAGGAUGCAAUUAAAGCAUGCUUAUAAAUCAAUAAGAAUAUAACCCAAAAGAAAACAGAUGAAAGACUAAAACAGGAAUUCCACUAGAAAGACGAAUGUCUACUAAGCAUGAGAACAUGCUCUACAUAUUUGAGAAAAUUAAAAUCACAAUGCCAAUAUUAAAAGUUUAAGUAUACACAUGCACAUACACCCUGCCAUACCAUUCCACACUUACCAAUUUGGCAAAAAUUAAAGCACUGACAGUACUAAAUGAGUAUGUGAGGCAAAAGAAAAUCCUAUGUUGAAAGUAGGAAUGUAAAUUGGCACCAAUACUAAUUGUUAUGUACCAAUUAGUUAAGUUGAACAUGCAUAUACCCUAUGACCCACAAGUCCCAGAGACAGGUAUAUAAUUACCAAAGCUGGCAACAGCACAGUUGUCUAUAAUGAGUAGAUUCGAUUUAUAUAUUGUGAUAGAUUCACACAAUGAGGCCACUGUUUGGCUAUGCCGUAGAGAAAACGAAUGAAUGACAGUGCUACUCAUCAACAUGAGUUAACUUCAAAGACAAAUUUUAAGGGGAAAAAGUCAAAGAACAUAUAUAAACGUCAAAAGUAGGCAAAACUAAAUAAUAAUUUGUGUAAAACAUAUAUACCUGUGAUGAAAAUUAAUCAGAAAAGCAACAGAAUAAUCAACACAAAAUUCAGAGUGGUGGUUAUAUGGAGAGCAAGGCAGGAUGCACUUGAGCAGAAGCACAAAGGUAACCUUAAAAAUAUUAGAGAAUAUUCCCAUAGUCAACAUGAAUGCUGGGUACACUGUUCUUUAAUACAAGUUUAUAUGUUCUUUUAUGUAUGACACACAAUAAAAGCAAACACUCGGACAGUUGGAAUAAGUGGCACAGAACUGAGCCCACAAAAAUGGUCCAUUAUACUAUGUGGUGUGUUACAAUAAUAGCCAUGUAGCUUUAAAGGGUGCUAGCAGGUCAGACACUUUGAGGAGAAAAAAGGUGUAUUAAUUAAUCAAGCAAUAUAUUUAUUAACUUUUCAUUUUCUUAAUAUACACUUUUAAAUUAAAGGUUUUAAUGCAGGGUUUUUUUUUUAAAAAAGAGGAAGUGGUUAAACAUUUUCUCAUGUUGAUAAAUCUUCAGCUACAGGAGACAUAGGGAGUCCUUAGAAGGAUAAGCAAAAAUGAAACCAUUCUGAUGUAUGUUAGGUAAGGUGACCACAUAAUUUAUCAUUCCAACCAGAUUAUUUUGAGAAUGAAAGAGGCGUUAUUAACAUUAUUCAAGGGUAACAGGUGUAAACCAGGACUGUCCAGGGCAAAUCAGAACAUACUGUCAUCCUGGUAAACUGCAACCACAGAGAAAACACGGAUUGCUUAAAAAGGAAACAUAAUUAGACUGGCAAGAGACUUUUCAUCAGUGACAACAGACACAAGGAGACAAUGGGGAAAUAUCUUCAAAUUUCUUAGAGAAAAUAAAGGUCAACCUAGAAUUCUAUAUCCAAGUAGAUGUUACAGAAAGAAAACAAAAAAAAAACCCUUUGCUUAAACUAAAAGAGUUUUCCAUGCUGAAAGGACUAAAGUUUAUACUUCAGGUACAAGAAAAUUGAACACAGAAAAGGAAUGAGGAGCAAUUAACAAUGAUGAGCAAAUAAAUUUACAGAUAAAUCUAAAUAAACCCUGACAGCACAACUGUGGUAAGCCUGACAAACAACAUUAAUUAGUAUAAUGAAUAAUGUAAGGAUAUUAAAAUAAGGUAUAACCUAGAAACUGGAAACAACAAGCUAGGAAGGAGGCAAUGAUCAUAGACUUAUAUUGCUUGGGAAGAAUAUAGAGAUGUUGAUUAGUUGUGGCCUUGCUAGGUCAAGUAUAUACCUUAAAAUUUUAAGUAUAAUCUCUAAGAGAAUGGAAAUAGAAUGCAGAGCUUCCACACUGGGAGAGAAGCAAAAGGAGAAACAAAAACAAUGAGCUCUAUCCUCCUGAGACAGGAAUGGGAGAAAGGACAAUCAGGGUAACUAGAAAGGACAAAAGAAAACAUAUCAAUAUUAAGCAUGUAUAUCAUACAUGUUAACCAAAAUAAGAAAACUGAUACAAAUAUAUCAGCAAUCACAAUAGACUUAAAAACACUAGAUUAUUGACUUAGGAGAUAGAGAUCCUCUGAUUAGAAUAAAAAACAAGAGCUGGAUACCUGCUUUACAAGAGGUGUGUUCAUAAAAGAUGCUUAAAACACAAGGACUAAGGAAAGGCAGGUAUUUUUUUAAUGAUAAACUGAUAAGCAAAUAUUAAUCAAAAGAAAGCUAGUGUAGUCAACCAAUAUGUGACAAACUAUACUUUAAGGCCAAAGCAUAAUUAGAAAUAGUGAGUUACUCUAUAAUAAUUAAAGAAAGUUUUCAUCAGAAAGGUAGAACAUUUCUGAACUUAUGCCCAUCUAACAAAUAUAGCCUCAGAAUAUAUAAAGCAAAGUUUGACAGAAAUAUAAGAAAAAUUUUAAAUCUGUAAGCAUAGUGGGAGAGUUUGACAUAUCUCUCAGAAAUUGAAAUAUCAAGGAGACCAAAACAAAUGAGGCUAUAAAAGAUAUUAAUAAUACAGUGAGGUUAACUGGAUGGACAUACGUUGAAUUCGACAAUUAACAGCUAGAGAAUAUACAUUUUUUAGGCAUCCGUGAAGAUUUUCAAAAUUGAUCUUGUACUACAAUACAAGCCAGUCAAGAAUCUAUCAUACAGACUACAUUCCCUCAUCACAAUUAUAUUAAAUUCAAAAUCAAUAACACCAUGAAUACAGCAUUAAAAAUUCAAUGUUUAGGAAAUGUAAAAACACUUUUAAACGAAUGGAUCAAAGAAGAAAUCAAAAUGAAAAACAGCAAAUAUUUAGAACUGAAUGAUAAAAUUCUACAUAGCAAAGUUUGUGGAAUGUAGCUACAAGCAACACUUAAGAGGUAUGGCCAUAAAAGCAUAUAUUAGAAGGAGAAAAUGGAAUAUUCAUGGAUUAAGUAUGAAAUUCAAGAUGUUAUAUAAAGUACAACAGAGUAAAUCCAAAGAAAGUAGAAGGGAACCACAAAGAAAGGACCAGGUAUUUAAAAAAUAGGGAACAAAGAAGCAAUAAUAGAGAUUCUUCUAUUGAAAUGCCAGUAAAAUUGAUAAACAGUUGACCUGACUGAUCCAAAUAUGAAAAGGUACAAAUAAACAAUAUUAGGAAUGAAAGAGGGACAAAACUACAUAUAGAAUGGAGAAUUUCAAAACAAUAGAAUACUAUGAACUAGAUUAUGCCAAUAAAUUGAAAAGUUAGAUGGAAUGGAAGUUUUCCCAGGAAAAAAAAGUUAAAACAGAUUGAAGCAAAAAUAGAAAAUCUGAACACAAAGAUAAUCAUUAAAGCAAUUAAGUCUAACUGUUGGUUACCAUGGGGGAGUGAUUGAGAUGGGUGGAUGGGGAGAGUAAGGGGGAUAAAGGGGCACAAAAUGCUCAAUCUUAAUAUAAGUUGGUCAUGGGGAGGGUAGCACAGAAUGGAGAAUAGAACCGAUGAUUCUGUAACAACUAUGUUGACAGAUAGUAAUUGUACUAGUUGGGGUAAGGAUUUAAUAAUAUGGGUAACGGUUGAACCACUGUGUUGUAUAUUUGAACCAAUAUAGAAUUGUAUAUCAAUGAUACUUCAAUUAAAAAAAAAGAAAUUGAGUUUAUGUUUUAAACAUCUACCCCCAUAAUACAAAAACACAAGACCUGACCCUGAGUGACAAGUUAGUUCUACCAAACAUUCAAGGAACAGAUAAUGCAACCUCAUUCAAAUUACUCCAAAGAAUAGGAAAAGAAGGAAAAUUUCCCAAACUAUUUUAUAAUGUGAGUAUAACCUUGAUACCAAGAGGAAACAAGAAAAACUAUAAUAUAAUCUCACUUUUCAACAUACAUGUAAAAAUCUUGAAAUGUCACAAACCAUUACAAUCUUAUGUGCAAUAAUAACAACCACCAACAUAAACAAACUAAGGUUAUUCUGGGAAUAAAAGGAUGGUUUAACAUGAGAAAGUUGCUAAAAUAUUUCACAGAAAUAAAUCAAAGAUGGAAAUCAUAUGAUUAGUCAAUACACAUAGAAAAAUUCUUUUUUGAAAAUAUUCAACAUCUUUUAUGAUAUAAGUUUUUAAAAUUCUUAGCAAACUAAGAUUUGAAGGGAACUUUAUAAAAUGUAUCUACAAAACCCGUAGAGUGAGCAUCAUCGUCCUAUGUCAGAAGCACUCCCUUUAAAGGUAGGAUCAAGACAAGGCUGAUCAUUAUUUCCUCCUCCACUCACCACUUUUCUGGAAGUCCUAGCCAGUGCACAAAGACAAGAAGGAAAAUGAAAGGUGUAAAGAUUUGAAAGGAAGAAAUGAAACUCUCAUUCUCUAUAGGUUGUAGGAUCAUGCAUACAGAAAAUCCAAGAGGAGCUAUUGCCAAACCACAGAAAUUAAUAAAAGAGGUCAGAAAAGUGCCAAGUAAAUUAUCAGCGUACAAAAAUCAACUGUCCUCCUACAAUCAGCAAUAUAUUAUUUAAUGUCAUUUUAUAAUUCCAUUUAAAAUAACCAAAAAAUUGUGACAUACCUAACAUAGAUACAACAAAAAAUAUGCAAAGAUAUUUACAGAGAAAAGCAUACAACUUUAUUAAAAGACCUUAACAAAAAAUAGAGAAAUAAACUGUAUUCAUGAAUGGAAAAGACUCAGGGUCAUAAAGCUGGC
Manis pentadactyla (Chinese pangolin) is the source of this 8486-nucleotide long non-coding RNA. RefSeq lists it as uncharacterized. The record is from RefSeq and is a predicted model, not a curated record. Lineage: Eukaryota; Metazoa; Chordata; Mammalia; Pholidota; Manidae. The transcript has 5 exons.